RNAcentral lists this ribosomal RNA (446 nucleotides) under uncultured bacterium. Its description in RNAcentral is "partial 16S ribosomal RNA". It matches the Rfam family "Bacterial small subunit ribosomal RNA", at positions 338 to 795 of the family's 1533-position model. The record is from RNAcentral.
CCUACGGGUGGCAGCAGUCGAGAAUCAUUCACAAUGGGGGAAACCCUGAUGGUGCGACGCCGCGUGGGGGAAUGAAGGUCUUCGGAUUGUAAACCCCUGUCAUGAGGGAGCAAAUUAAAAAGAUAGUACCACAAGAGGAAGAGAAGGCAAACUCUGUGCCAGCAGCCGCGGUAAUACAGAGGUCUCAAGCGUUGUUCGGAAUCACUGGGCGUAAAGCGUGCGUAGGCUGUUUCGUAAGUCGUGUGUGAAAGGCGCGGGCUCAACCCGCGGGCGGCACAUGAUACUGCGAGACUAGAGUAAGGGAGGGGGAACCGGAAUUCUCGGUGUAGCAGUGAAAUGCGUAGAUAUCGGGAGGAACACUCGUGGCGAAGGCGGGUUCCUGGACAUUAACUGACGCUGAGGCACGAAGGCCAGGGGAGCGAAAGGGAUUAGAUACCCGGGUAGUC